AGUAAUACAUAUUUAACUUACUUUUACGAGGAGGAUAGCAGUUCGAAAGGACUAUUAAUACUCCAUAGGUUUAUAAACUAAAUCAAAGAGGCUCCCUCGGGGGCCUCGCGUGAAAAUAGGAAUAUGUCCUAUUAGGUAGUUGGCGGGGUAAAGGCCCACCAAGCCAGUGAUGGGUAGCUGGACUGAGAGGUUGAACAGCCGCAAUGGGAUUGAGAUAUGGCCCAUAUUCCUACGGGAAGCAGCAGUGAGGAAUUUUUCACAAUGGACGAAAGUCUGAUGGAGCAAUACCACGUGAACGAUGAAGGUCUUCUGAUUGUAAAGUUCUUUUAUUUAGGAAAAAAAGCGCGCUAGGAAAUGAGCGCGCCUUGAUGGUACUAAUUGAAUAAGUGACAGCUAACUAUGUGCCAGCAGCUGCGGUAAAACAUAGGUCACGAGCAUUAUCCGGAUUUAUUGGGCGUAAAGGAAGCGUAGGUGGGGAGGUUGAUCCAUUGUUAAAGGCAUUUGCUUAACAAAUGUGUGUGAUGGAGAUCGCCUCCCUAGAGUUAAUCAGGGGGUACUGGAAUUCAAUGUGUAGCGGUGGAAUGCGUAGAUAUAUUGAGGAACACCAGAGGCUAAGGCGAGUACCUAGGAUAUAACUGACACUGAGGCUUGAAAGCGUGGGGAGCAAAUGGGAUUAGAUACCCCAGUAGUCCACGCCGUAAACGAUGGGCAUUAGGUAUUUGACAUCUAGUCGAGUGCUGUAGCUAACGCGUUAAAUGCCCCGCCUGGGUAGUAUAUAUGCAAAUAUGAAACUCAAAGAAAUUGACGGGGACCUGAACAAGUGGUGGAG
RNAcentral lists this ribosomal RNA (829 nucleotides) under uncultured Mycoplasma sp. RNAcentral's name for it is "bacterial SSU rRNA". It matches the Rfam family "Bacterial small subunit ribosomal RNA", at positions 109 to 937 of the family's 1533-position model. Lineage: Bacteria; Bacillati; Mycoplasmatota; Mollicutes; Mycoplasmatales; Mycoplasmataceae. The record is from RNAcentral.